RNAcentral lists this non-coding RNA (23 nucleotides) under Arabidopsis thaliana (thale cress). The record is from RNAcentral. Lineage: Eukaryota; Viridiplantae; Streptophyta; Magnoliopsida; Brassicales; Brassicaceae.
GUGAAUAACAUUUAGGUGUGGUA